AUUGAACGCUGGCGGCAGGCCUAACACAUGCAAGUCGAGCGGAUGAAGGGAGCUUGCUCCUGGAUUCAGCGGCGGACGGGUGAGUAAUGCCUAGGAAUCUGCCUGGUAGUGGGGUAUAACGUCCGGAAACGGGCGCUAAUACCGCAUACGUCCUGAGGGAGAAAGUGGGGGAUCUUCGGACCUCACGCUAUCAGAUGAGCCUAGGUCGGAUUAGCUAGUUGGUGGGGUAAAGGCCUACCAAGGCGACGAUCCGUAACUGGUCUGAGAGGAUGAUCAGUCACACUGGAACUGAGACACGGUCCAGACUCCUACGGGAGGCAGCAGUGGGGAAUAUUGGACAAUGGGCGAAAGCCUGAUCCAGCCAUGCCGCGUGUGAAGAAGGUCUUCGGAUUGUAAAGCACUUUAAGUUGGGAGGAAGGGCAGUAAGUUAAUACCUUGCUGUUUUGACGUUACCAACAGAAUAAGCACCGGCUAACUUCGUG
This 482-nucleotide ribosomal RNA is filed under the name uncultured bacterium. RNAcentral's name for it is "partial 16S ribosomal RNA". It matches the Rfam family "Bacterial small subunit ribosomal RNA", at positions 30 to 507 of the family's 1533-position model. The record is from RNAcentral.